UACGUAGGGGGCGAGCGUUGUCCGGAGUUACUGGGCGUAAAGCGCACGCAGGCGGUCUGCUAAGUUUGGAGUGACAGUUGGUGGCUUAACUGCCAAAGUGCUUCGAAAACUGACAGACUUGAGGGCUUCAGAGGGACACGGAAUUCCGGGUGUAGCGGUGGAAUGCGUAGAGAUCCGGAAGAACACCGGUGGCGAAGGCGGCCUGCUGGGCUAUGGCUGACACUGAGGCGCGACAGCGUGGGGAGCAAACAGG
This 253-nucleotide ribosomal RNA is filed under the name uncultured bacterium. RNAcentral's name for it is "partial 16S ribosomal RNA". It matches the Rfam family "Bacterial small subunit ribosomal RNA", at positions 524 to 776 of the family's 1533-position model. The record is from RNAcentral.